AGUGAACGCUGGCGGUAGGCCUAACACAUGCAAGUCGAACGGCAGCACAGUAAGAGCUUGCUCUUACGGGUGGCGAGUGGCGGACGGGUGAGGAAUACAUCGGAAUCUACUUUUUCGUGGGGGAUAACGUAGGGAAACUUACGCUAAUACCGCAUACCACCUACCGUUGAAAGCAGGGGAUCUUCGGACCUUGUGCGAUUGAAUGCGCCGAUGUUGGAUUUGCUAGUUGGCGGGGUAAAGGCCCACUAAGGCGAGGAUGCGUAGCUGGACGGAGUGGAGGGUAAGCGGCCUUGGAACGGAGACACGGUCCAGGCGCCUACGGGAGGCAGCAGUGGGGAAUAGUAGGCAAUGGGGGCAAGCAUGGUCCAGCCAUACCGAGUGGGUGAAGGAGGCGUUGGGGUUGUAAAGACCUUUUGUGGGGAAAGAAAAGCAGCAGGUUAAGACCCCGCUGUUCUGACGGUACCCAAAGAAGAAGCACCGGCUAACUUCGUG
This 492-nucleotide ribosomal RNA is filed under the name uncultured bacterium. RNAcentral's name for it is "partial 16S ribosomal RNA". It matches the Rfam family "Bacterial small subunit ribosomal RNA", at positions 30 to 507 of the family's 1533-position model. The record is from RNAcentral.